Molecule: ribosomal RNA, 253 nt
Filed under: uncultured bacterium
Lineage: Bacteria
Description: partial 16S ribosomal RNA
Rfam family: Bacterial small subunit ribosomal RNA
Source: RNAcentral
UACGUAGGGUGCGAGCGUUAAUCGGAAUUACUGGGCGUAAAGCGUGCGCAGGCGGCGCCGCAAGUCAGGCGUGAAAUCCCCGAGCUUAACUUGGGAAUGGCGCUUGAAACUACGGUGCUGGAGUGUGGCAGAGGGGGAUGGAAUUCCGCGUGUAGCAGUGAAAUGCGUAGAUAUGCGGAGGAACACCGAUGGCGAAGGCAAUCCCCUGGGCCUGCACUGACGCUCAUGCACGAAAGCGUGGGGAGCAAACAGG